GAUGAACGCUGGCGGCGUGCUUAACACAUGCAAGUCGAACGAGGGUUAUCGGUUGAAGUUUUCGGACGGAAACUGAUAAUUCCUAGUGGCGGACGGGUGAGUAACGCGUGGGGAACCUGCCCCAUUCCGGGGGAUACCAGUUGGAAACGACUGUUAAUACCGCAUAAGCGCACAGCAUUGCAUGAUGCAGUGUGAAAAACUCCGGUGGAAUGGGAUGGCCCCGCGUCUGAUUAGCCAGUUGGCAGGGUAACGGCCUACCAAAGCGACGAUCAGUAGCCGGGCCUGAGAGGGCGACCGGCCACAUUGGGACUGAGACACGGCCCAA
RNAcentral lists this ribosomal RNA (325 nucleotides) under uncultured bacterium. Its description in RNAcentral is "bacterial SSU rRNA". It matches the Rfam family "Bacterial small subunit ribosomal RNA", at positions 28 to 334 of the family's 1533-position model. The record is from RNAcentral.